Molecule: long non-coding RNA, 283 nt
Filed under: Myripristis murdjan (pinecone soldierfish)
Lineage: Eukaryota; Metazoa; Chordata; Actinopteri; Holocentriformes; Holocentridae
Description: lncRNA (ENSMMDG00005000020.1)
Source: RNAcentral
CGAGGAGAUCCGGGAGAAGUGCGGCGAGGACGCCGUGCACUACCUGUCCUUCCAGCGGCACAUCAUCGGGCUGCUGGUGGUGGUGGGCGUCCUGUCCGUCGGCAUCGUCCUGCCCGUCAACUUCUCCGGAGACCUGCUGGAAAACAACGCCUACAGCUUCGGACGGACCACGAUAGCCAACCUGAAGUCCGGGACCAACCUGCUGUGGCUCCACACCUCCUUCGCCUUCAUGUACCUGCUGCUGACCGUCUACAGCAUGAGGAGACACACGUCCAAGAUGCAC